AUUGAACGCUGGCGGCAGGCUUAACACAUGCAAGUCGAGCGGGGGAAGGUAGCUUGCUACCGGACCUAGCGGCGGACGGGUGAGUAAUGCUUAGGAAUCUGCCUAUUAGUGGGGGACAACAUCUCGAAAGGGAUGCUAAUACCGCAUACGUCCGACGGGAGAAAGCAGGGGAUCUUCGGACCUCGCGCUAAUAGAUGAGCCUAAGUCGGAUUAGCUAGUUGGUGGGGUAAAGGCCUACCAAGGCGACGAUCUGUAGCGGGUCUGAGAGGAUGAUCCGCCACACUGGGACUGAGACACGGCCCAGACUCCUACGGGAGGCAGCAGUGGGGAAUAUUGGACAAUGGGGGGAACCCUGAUCCAGCCAUGCCGCGUGUGUGAAGAAGGCCUUAUGGUUGUAAAGCACUUUAAGCGAGGAGGAGGCUACUCUAGUUAAUACCUAGGGAUAGUGGACGUUACUCGCAGAAUAAGCACCGGCUAACUACGUGCCAGCCGCCGCCGUAA
This 501-nucleotide ribosomal RNA is filed under the name uncultured bacterium. Its description in RNAcentral is "partial 16S ribosomal RNA". It matches the Rfam family "Bacterial small subunit ribosomal RNA", at positions 30 to 523 of the family's 1533-position model. The record is from RNAcentral.